AACGAACGCUGGCGGCAGGCUUAACACAUGCAAGUCGAGCGCCCCGCCAGGGGAGCGGCGGACGGGUGGGUAGCGCGUGGGGACGUACCUAUUGGUUCGGCACAACUUCGGGAUACUGGAGCUAAUACCGGAUAAGCCCUAACGGGGAAAGGUGUAUCGCCUACAGUUCGGGCCGCGUCUGAUUCGCGCGUUGGUGGGGUAACGGCGCACCAAGGCGACGAUCAGUAGCUGGUAUGAGAGGAGGAUCAGCCACACUGGGCCUGAGACACGGCCGAGAAUCCUAGGGGAGGGGGCAGAGGGGGAUACUGGACAAGGGGGGCAGGCCUGAUCCAGCCAGGCCGCGUGAGUGAUGAAGGCGUUAGGGUAGUGAAGCACUUUUGUCCGGGGAGAUACUGACGGUACCGGAAGAAUAAGCCCCGGCUAACUUCGUG
RNAcentral lists this ribosomal RNA (431 nucleotides) under uncultured bacterium. RNAcentral's name for it is "partial 16S ribosomal RNA". It matches the Rfam family "Bacterial small subunit ribosomal RNA", at positions 28 to 507 of the family's 1533-position model. The record is from RNAcentral.